GUGCUGACGGGGCUACGCAGCGGGCUUCGAACGCCCAAUUUUCUCUCCGGCUGCCUGGGCGCCACAAGGACCCCAGCAGGUCUCGCCACGUCUUCCAGCGCUAGUACCACCGUGACGUCAUGUUGGCCUGCCCUCUGGGAUCAGCAGGAGCAGCAGGCGGUAACCCCCGCAUGCCACCGUGUUUCUGGCUCCGGCACCAAAGUCUCUGCCCCUGCCGAGUGAUGGCAUGCCACGCAAGGGUGACAAAAGGGUUGUUUUGUGCUGUCGCGGUGCCAGGACCUGUGGCCACGCUGCCCUUCGGCGAGACUGCGGAGGCUGCUCGACGCCUAAGAAUCGCACACAGCAGCACAACUGGCGUCUUUGAGCAGUGUCCCGACCUGCCGGCGUGCAGCCCUUCGGCGAAGCUGCGGUGGCUGCUCGAUGCCGGAGAAUCGCACGCAGCAGCACCGCCACGAGCAGCGCGCACUUCGCCACGUGCAUCGCAUGCUGCAGCUGCUGCACCUCCAGCGACACAGUGUUG
RNAcentral lists this long non-coding RNA (520 nucleotides) under Dermacentor andersoni. RNAcentral describes it as "uncharacterized LOC126516713". The record is from RNAcentral. Lineage: Eukaryota; Metazoa; Arthropoda; Arachnida; Ixodida; Ixodidae.